CAUAUGCUUGUCUCAAAGAUUAAGCCAUGCACGUCUAAGGAUAAAGUAUUAUUUAACCAUAAACCUGCGAAAGGCUCAUUAAAUCAGUAAUAAUCUAUUCUAUUAUUUUAAAUCCUAUUUUGGAUAACUGUAGUAAUUCUAGAGCUAAUACAUGCAAAAAACCUGGACUUUACAGAACAGGUGUACUUAUUAGACUUUAAAACCGAUUACAAUUUAUUGUAAAUUUAAAAUGAAUUAAAAUAAGUUUAUGAAUCGCAGAUCAUUUUGUGAUGAUAAGAAUGAAUUUCUGCCCUAUCAACUUUCGAUGGUAAUGUAGUGGAUUACCAUGGUGAUGACGGGGUAACGGGGAAUUAGGGUUUGAUUCCGGAGAAAAAGGCCUGAGAGACGGCCAUUACUUCUAAGGAAGGCAGCAGGCGC
Molecule: ribosomal RNA, 417 nt
Filed under: uncultured eukaryote
Lineage: Eukaryota
Description: bacterial SSU rRNA
Rfam family: Eukaryotic small subunit ribosomal RNA
Source: RNAcentral